AUGCUCCCAAGCCGUGUCAUAAACAAUGAAACUCCCACAGAACGGCUCCUUCAUGUCAAGCCCAACUACACAUCUCUACGUGUCUUUGGGUGUGCAUGCUGGCCCAAUCUCCGUCCCUACAACUCUCGCAAACUCAUGUUCCGAUCUAAGCAGUGUGUUUUCCUUGGGUAUAGUGCACAACACAAGGGGGUUAAGUGCCUAGAUGUUUCUACCGGCCGUGUCUACAUUUCUCGCGAUGUUGUGUUCGAUGAGAACAAGUUUCCAUUCGCUGAUCUACACCCCAACGCCGAUGCUUUGCUUCGUAAAGAAAUCCUCCUUCUACCACCCUCUCUUACUGGCCUCGAUGAAGGGGAACGAAACCAUGAUGAUCAUAUGUUGACUAACCCUCAAACCACUGUGCCCGAGUUGUGUGAUGCUGCAGGAGAAAACGGAUCAGAAAAUGAUGAAGCAAAUGAUGUACGAGGGCCAUAUUUCAUGUGCCCCGAACCAGGGAGCAAAUCAGUCUCGGGAUCAGCUCCCGUGACAGCGGCAGACCUACCCAGCGGAUAA
This 549-nucleotide ribosomal RNA is filed under the name Triticum aestivum (bread wheat). RNAcentral's name for it is "partial small subunit ribosomal RNA". The record is from RNAcentral. Lineage: Eukaryota; Viridiplantae; Streptophyta; Magnoliopsida; Poales; Poaceae.